CCUACGGGCGGCUGCAGUGGGGAAUAUUGGACAAUGGGGGGAACCCUGAUCCAGCCAUGCCGCGUGUGUGAAGAAGGCCCUCGGGUUGUAAAGCACUUUCAGUGAGGAAGAACGCCUGGUGGUUAAUACCCAUCAGGAAAGACAUCACUCACAGAAGAAGCACCGGCUAACUCCGUGCCAGCAGCCGCGGUAAUACGGAGGGUGCGAGCGUUAAUCGGAAUUACUGGGCGUAAAGCGCGCGUAGGUGGCUUUAUAAGCCGGUUGUGAAAGCCCCGGGCUCAACCUGGGAACGGCAUCCGGAACUGUCAAGCUAGAGUGCAGGAGAGGAAGGUAGAAUUCCCGGUGUAGCGGUGAAAUGCGUAGAGAUCGGGAGGAAUACCAGUGGCGAAGGUGGCCUUCUGGACUGACACUGACACUGAGGUGCGAAAGCGUGGGUAGCAAACAGGAUUAGAUACCCGGGUAGUC
This 465-nucleotide ribosomal RNA is filed under the name Vreelandella stevensii. RNAcentral's name for it is "partial 16S ribosomal RNA". It matches the Rfam family "Bacterial small subunit ribosomal RNA", at positions 338 to 795 of the family's 1533-position model. Lineage: Bacteria; Pseudomonadati; Pseudomonadota; Gammaproteobacteria; Oceanospirillales; Halomonadaceae. The record is from RNAcentral.